Long non-coding RNA from Quercus lobata, 941 nucleotides. RefSeq lists it as uncharacterized. The transcript is spliced from 2 exons. The record is from RefSeq and is a predicted model, not a curated record. NCBI's taxonomy places the organism in Eukaryota, Viridiplantae, Streptophyta, Magnoliopsida, Fagales, Fagaceae.
CCAUUCUGUUUUCAAAUCCAUAAACUUAAAAAAUUGAGACCCACACUCUGACCUAUGCUACCAGUGCACAGAACUCCUACCCGCCCCCUCUUCAGUCUUCACCCCCACUUACCCCAAAACCCAACUUUACCAAACCAGAGUUCUUCACUUCCCUUCGUAGCCUCAACACCUCUAAUGUCCUCCACUCAAUCCUCACCCAACUGCGCCGAUGCCACCGAUUUCUUCCUCCCUCCUCGUCCCUGAAACCGAACUCAUAACAGGUUGUACCUCCUUCCUCCGUCCUCGGCGCCGAAACCGAACCCAGCAUUAAAUUCCGUUGGUGCUUUGUUGAAGAGACGAACCUCGAUACUGUUGCUGUUGUGUGUAUCUCAACCCAAUCCUUGCCCCCUGAAAGUUCUAAUCACCAUCGUUCCUUGUGGGACUCCGAUCAACAUUGUAAGUUCUUUCGAUGGUUGGACAAGAACACAUGCCCUUGUGGCUGUGAAACAACACCAAUUGUGUGGGAAAGGUUUAGAAGGCUGGUAGCUGAGGCUGAGGCUGCUAGAAAUGAGAAGGAUGAUGUCCGUGCAAUGGAAGCAGAAGCACGGAAGUGGGAAAGGAUAGCAAAGCGCAGGGCUGAAAAAUCUAAGCUCGCACUCCAGAUUGCUGAAGAGAAAGUGUGCAAGUAUAGGGGAGCUUUAAUUAUGUCCUAGAUUGUACUUGGGGUGUAUUUUUUUUUUUUCUACAGUGUUUGGGGCCCAUGGAUAGACGCAACUGUGCUUGCCAUGAGUUUAUUUGCGGUCACGUUCACAAUGUUUGACGCUAUUUCCAUGCCAUGUUUUAUUAAGCUAUAUAUUUAACAGUUGUUGGAUAGGGUACUGUUUUGGACAUUUCAUAGUAUGCAGUUAAGUAAUGGCAAUAUUUUUUUUUUAUAGUAAUGGCAAUAUCUGGAUAUAAUGUUG